RNAcentral lists this long non-coding RNA (1550 nucleotides) under Gallus gallus (chicken). Its description in RNAcentral is "lncRNA (ENSGALG00010009233.1)". Lineage: Eukaryota; Metazoa; Chordata; Aves; Galliformes; Phasianidae. The record is from RNAcentral.
AGCAACCACUUCUAUCAGAAUGUCCCUCAGAUCCUCCCAUCUCUUCCAAGCCACUCCUUCCAGACCUGUGUUUGGGCCCCACGCUAGUAGUAGUCAUACGGCUGUGAAAAGAACCGUAACAUUGGGAAGAAGGGGGCAGUCAGCCCAUCUGUAACCCUGGAGGUUUCAGGCCACAGGACUGAGCUGGUCUCAGGUCAGCAGUGUACAGAGUUCCUCCCAGCUUACCAGCAGAGACUGACUUGUGGCAGCAGUGGGACGGAUUUUUGACAGCACCUGGGUAAUGAGGCCUUCAGCCUUCCCUUAAGCCUCAAAGCCCCUUAAACUCUCUGAUUGCUGCAGACUGAGGGAGCUCCGAAGCUUCACAGCAUAGGAGAGGCAAGGAGGAGGCCAGAAGACAAGAGUAGAAAUGGAAGCUGGACUGAAACCAUCUGCAGCCUUGAGCUUGGAGAUGGGACCCAGACUCCAACUGAUUACCUACAGGAGAGGUCUACUGGCCCUCUGAGCAUAUCCAUGGCCUCUCCUCUGGAUUCACUCCAACAGCUCUAUGUCUUGUGAUGAUGGCCCAGACCUGGGCACAGUACUCCAGAUUGGACCACAGGAGGGCAGAGCAGAGGGGGACAACCCUCUGCCGCUCCUGUGUCGAUGCAGCCCAAGUUGCUGUUGGCCCUCCAGGCUGCAGGUGCACACUAUUGGCUCAUGUCCAGCUUUUCAUCCAUCAGGAUGCCCAAGUCCUACUCUGCAGGGCUGCUCUCAAGGAACUCUUCUCCCUUUCUACACUCAUAUCUGGGAUUGCCCUGACUCAAGUGCAACACCUUGCACUUGCUUUGCUAAGAGGUAAACACUUUACAGAGCAAUUUGUCAUAGAAAAUAUCUUGGAUCAUGUGCCCUCAAGGCAUCUCCAUUUAAAUCAAAAAGAAGUUAGCUCGACAUUAACAUUUCAGAGGGGGAUUUUAGAGAAAUAAAGGGAAUUAUUCAGAGAAAUCAACUGAACUUAGAACAAUAUGGAUCAUAUAUCCCAGGCAAGAGAGGAAAGCUCUCAGGGGAAAGGCUAAUGCCUUAAUUGGAUGAAGAAUUACCACAAAAAGAAAAUUAGGAAUAACCACAAGCCUGCAGUGGAUGGAAAAAGGAAUUAACCAGCAAAGAGAAUUUGAUGUUAGAGGUCAGGAAGUGUAGGGGUAACAUGAGAAUCGCCAAAGUCAAGCUGCGUUCGAUCUUGCAAAGGAAAUUAAAACAACUAGUAAAAUGUUCAUGAGUCACAAAUGAGAAGAGAACAAAGAAAUGCGGUUUCUGUGUGCCCAGGAUGUGGUGAAGCUUAAAGAUACUGAACUCCAUCCCUCAAAUUAGGUGCCUGUUUUGUGUCAGGCUUUGGGAAGAAAAAGGAUCCUGAAUCCCAGGACAAAGGGAAGAUGGAUGAGGGACAUCAGGAUAUGGAAAUGACCACAUCUGAAGGGAAUGAAAAUCUGAACGAGCUAAGUGCAUACAAACUGAAAGAACUGGACCAGCUCCACCCCAGAGACAGGGAAGAGUCAGGCUAUCAAGUUUUAAGUCCA